This is a long non-coding RNA of Temnothorax curvispinosus, 749 nucleotides long. RefSeq lists it as uncharacterized. The record is from RefSeq and is a predicted model, not a curated record. NCBI's taxonomy places the organism in Eukaryota, Metazoa, Arthropoda, Insecta, Hymenoptera, Formicidae. The transcript is spliced from 3 exons.
AAUUCUAAUUUUUCGAGGACGGCAACGAUGAGUUUAAUUUUUUUUAAAGAUUUAUACAGAAGAUACGUAAUGUAGCUACGCUCAAAGGAAACGAAGAAUCGAGAUCAGUUCCGCAAAUGUUAAAAUUAUCGUUGACAGAUGGAAAGAAUAAUUUUCAAGCCUUAGAAGUUGAACAUAUAUCGGCUUUAAGUUAGUUAAAACACGCCACCUGGUACAAAAAUACUGAUAAAAUCAGGAACUCUACCUGUGUCACAUGGACUUUCUUUAUUGACACCAGCGCAUUUAAUUUACGUACUUGGGGGAAAAGUUGCCAGUUUAGUGAAAAAAUGGGAAUUAGAUAAGAAAUUAGCUUCAUUCUUGAAUAACAUCUGCCGAGGAAGAUGAGCCACUACCGUGGAUACUAUUUGGUAAAAAAAUCGUAAAAGUAUUCGAGCAAGAUAAAAACUUCAAAGCCCCGGCAGAAACAGAAAAACCUAGCAAGGAGAAUAUGUAGUUUGAAGCUCAGCGCAAUUAAGGAUGUGAUAGCGGAAGCUGCCAAGCAAGGCAGCAAGAAAGUAUUUGGCGACGAGACUAAACAGGUUGACUUGCUUUUUUAUAUGUUCCAUUAAAUUAAAAGUUUGCGUUGAUGUCUGAAAAUCUAAUUUAUGUGCGUUUUACACAGCUAUUGGAUCAUAGCGUACAGAAAAUUGUGGAUCGUGGAUUUACCAUAAAUAUUCAGUAAAUAGAAAUAACGUGGAUAAAGCACUGAG